UGUCAAGUGGCAGAUUAUGCGGUAGAUUUAAGCUCUAUAGAUGGGUUAAUUAUCCCUUGAUGA
RNAcentral lists this transfer RNA (63 nucleotides) under Vignadula atrata. RNAcentral describes it as "tRNA-Leu". Lineage: Eukaryota; Metazoa; Mollusca; Bivalvia; Mytilida; Modiolidae. The record is from RNAcentral.